Molecule: long non-coding RNA, 2410 nt
Filed under: Homo sapiens (human)
Lineage: Eukaryota; Metazoa; Chordata; Mammalia; Primates; Hominidae
Description: HSALNT0082265
Source: RNAcentral
GUCAGGGGCGCUCCAGAGCAGCCCCGGUGCCCACGUCUCAUCGCAGCCCUCUGGCAGGACAGCGCGCGUCUAAACUAAGCCGAGGCGCACUUCGCUAAGGGGACCUCUCCGUUUGGACAAUCCCGACGCCCGGCUCUACGUGAGGCGUUUUUCCCUCGUUCUCAUUCAUGGGCGGCGCUGGGCAUUCUCUGCCAUCCUUAGGGGUCCUCCACAGCAUGCGGGAGGCCGGCGCCCCAGGGCUCUUUCACCCCCCGCUGCUCUCGUUCCUCCACGUGUUCUCCCGAGCGACCCACCCGCGUUCAUGGUCCCAAACCCCCACCUAACCUCCAGCCAGCGCCCUUCUCCCGAGCUCCAGGCCCCUCCAGCUCCAGUGUGGGCAUCGUCCCCUGGUUCUCCUCAAGUCCACUUACACUCAGCCUCUUCCAGGCGGAAUUCCUCAUCUCCCACACAACCCUUUGCCGCUCUGGUAUCAGCUGGUGGCUUCUCCGUGGCCAUGCAGAGAAUAGAGACAGAACUUGAAACUGAUGUGCACAUGAGUGAGAUUCUUCAGCAAGGUGACAGACAGGAGGGUAAAGAGGAAGUAGGAUGAGCUCUUUGCUUUGAGUUUCUGUUUUCCAGGUCGGCUUGAUUGGAAAGAGGGAUGGCCGUGGUGAGAGUUGACAGUGUGCUGGUAGCCCUCGCAGCCCACGCUCGCUCUCGGCGCCUCCUCUGCCUGGGCUCCCACUUUGACGGCACUUGAGGAGCCCUCCAGCCCGCCGCCGCACUGUGGGAGCCCCUUGCUGGGCUGGCCGAGACCGGAGCCAGCUCCCUCAGCUUGCAGGGAGGUGUGGAGGGAGAGGCAUGGGCGGGAACCAGGGCUUCGCGGGUGCCUGCGGGCCAGCACGAGUUCCGGGUGGGCGUGGGCUCAGCGGGCCUCACACUGGGAGCCGCAGGCCGGCUCGCAAGUCCCGGGCAGUGAGGAGCUUACUACCCGGGCCAGCAGCUGCGGAGGGUGUGCCGGGUCCCCCAGCAGUGCCGGCCCACCGGCUCUGUGCUGGAUUUCUUGCCGUGCCUUAGCUGCCUCCCCUCGGGCAGGGCUGGGGACCUGCAGCCUGCCAUGCCUGAGUCUCCCUCCGCACUGCCAGAUGCUCCUGCCGGGCCUGAGUCUCCCCGACGAGCGCUGCCCCAUGUUCCACGGCGCCCGAUCCCAUCCACUGCCCAAGGUCUGAGGAGUGCCAGCGCACGGCGACGGAGUGGCAGGCAGCUCCACCUGCGGCCCCGGUGUGAGAUCCACUGGAUGAAGCCAGCUGGACUCCUGAGUCUGGUGGGGACUUGGAGAAUCUUUAUGUCUAGCUGGGGGAUUGUGAAUGCACCAAUCAGCACUCUGUAUCUAGCUCAAGGUUUGUAAACACACCAAUCAGCACCCUGUGUCUAGCUCAGGGUUUGUGAAUGCACCAAUCGACACUCUGUUUCUAGCUAAUUUAGUGGGGCCGUGGAGAACUUUUGUGUCGAACUCAGGGAUUGUAAACGCACCAAUCAGCACUCUGUCAAAAUGGACCAAUCAGCUCUCUGUAAAACAGACCAAUCGGCUCUCUGUAAAAUGGACCAAUCAGCAGGAUGUGGGUGGGGCCAGAUAAGAGAAUAAAAGCAGGCUGCUCCGCGCUAGCACUAGCAAGUUGCUAGAGUGGCCUGCCACAGUGUAAGUUUUGUUCUUUAGCUCUUUGCAAUAAAUCUUGCUACUGCCCACUCUUUGGGUUUACACUGCAUUUAUGAGCUGUAACACUCAUGGUGAAGAUUUACAGGUUCAGUCCUGAAGCCAGCGAGACAAAGAACCCACUGGGAAGAACAAACAACUCCAGACGCCCCAACUUAAGAGCUGUUAACACCCGAAGAUCUGCAGCUUCACUUUUGAGCCAGCGAGACCACGAACCCACCAGAAGGAAGAAACUCUGAACAGGCUGGAACGUCAGAAGGAACAAACUCAGGACAUGCCACCUUUAAGAACUGUAACACUCACUGUGAGGGUCUGCGGCUUCAUUCUUGAAGGCUGUGAGACCAAGAACCCACCAAUUUCGGACACACUGGGACCACCCUCGCUGACUGGAGGUGGUACGGUUCAUCUGGACCAGCCUCUGAUGUGGGGAAGACCAAGCGAGAGCACACUGCGGAGAGUGAGUCCUGGUCGGUUUGGGUAUGGCUCUCAGCAGACUGACCCACGAGGGCCAGCAGCUGCUGGAUUUAAUUCGCUGAUUUUGUAUGAACUGUAGAUUUCCCUGGGAAAUCUGCUAUGCACACACAAGUGAGAAGGCAACCAUGAGAAGGAGGCCAGGGCUGAGGCUCUGCAAGUGCACACGGCUCGUUGCAGAAAAGCACGCGCCUCCCAGCAGGACUGUUAGCCCAGAGAGGAAGCCUGCUGGGGUUUGAGCUCAUU